Molecule: long non-coding RNA, 797 nt
Organism: Acipenser ruthenus (sterlet)
Lineage: Eukaryota; Metazoa; Chordata; Actinopteri; Acipenseriformes; Acipenseridae
Exons: 3
Source: RefSeq, a predicted model, not a curated record
AUGCGACCAACCUUAUAUCAGGACUUCAUAAUAUCUUGCAUGUGGGUGACAUCAUAGCCUAGCAUUUGUCGGUGAAGCAGUACGAUCAGUAAAUCACCAAUGCUGACCAGUAUACACCUGCGAUUGCCAUUUCUGGAAUUCCCCGCCGUGUGCUCAGAAGGUUAUGGAAACGAACACAUUGUUAGUUGUGCUCCAGGUGCGUUGAGGUCUUACAAUAGCACCAGAGCGCCCCCUGGUGGCGGACGAUAAAGACACAAGUCUGUUAAUAAACGAGACAAAAGCAGGUAGAUUAAACAUAACCUGGGCACAAUUCAAGACAGUUCUUUCAGAAUUUUAAAUUACACAGCGCAUGCGAAGACGGAUUAAUUCACACAGGGCGGCGCCCUCUAGUGGAACAUGUGAAGAAUGCAUGUCCGAAGGAGUUUAAGAAAACGGCGCUGUAUCUUCAGCAGAGGUUUUUGAAGGGCAGUUCUGCUGCAGAAUUUCCACUGGCAGGAUCUCAGUGCCCCCGGAGAGCACUGCAGAGGUAUCCCGAUUCUUCAUUACAGCUGCCGUCCCUGAACAGACUCAGAAAGAAAGCCAGCGGCCAAUUCCAGGCUUCUGUAAACUGCCUCUCACAGCUCACGAGUCAUUUAAAAAAGAAUCUGGACUGAGAAGAAUGUACUUUUUAUUUUUUCCUGCACAUCUUUUUAAUGACAGGCUUUUUCUUUUUUUUUUUAAUGCACAUAGGUGAAAAAAUGUUAUGUUUUAUAAUUUAUUUUAUCAAGGGGCAGAGCAGUAAAAUAGAAAAUAAUUGU